Vitis riparia (riverbank grape) is the source of this 813-nucleotide long non-coding RNA. RefSeq lists it as uncharacterized. The transcript is spliced from 4 exons. Lineage: Eukaryota; Viridiplantae; Streptophyta; Magnoliopsida; Vitales; Vitaceae. The record is from RefSeq and is a predicted model, not a curated record.
UCCAAAUAUUGGAGGAGCCCCACUGGUCCUACGAGGAGAGCCCGGGCCUGACCUGAUGCACCUUAAGAGCCAACCGGCUAGUGCACGCAUGUAGGAGCGUUGAGAGGUUAUCCAUAACUCGAAACAUGCUUUCCAGUUCCUGAGUUCAGCCUCAAGAUUGGCAGCUGAACGGGCUAGCCUGUGUGGCUCAGUAGUUGUUGUUGAUACAGCACCCUGCUUCUUUGCCUCUGCUAUUUUAGAAGGCGUUCCAGCCAGCAAGAGCUUGGCUUCAUCCAAGCAGAGAAAGAUCAAAAAGAAAAUGCCAGGAAGACGGUGGAUGCUGCUGAAUGAUGUUUACCCUUGUACCAAUUCUAGAAGUUGAGGCUGCAGCUCUUCAUCCCUCAGAGCUUCUAUCCUCUUUGAAACAGCUUCAACCGAGUGUAUUGAAACCUUUAUCUGGACUGUUAGAAAAGAAGGUUACAACUGGAGAGAUUAUUGAUUUGCUCUUACUAUUCUACAUAUAAUGAAUAUGGAGUCAUGCUUUCUUCAGAGUUGGUUUGAAGAUGGAUUCCUCGGAGACGUCACUACUGCUUGCAUAACCUUCAUCUCUGGAACUUGAAGAAUUCAUUAAGAAUCUUGAUGAGGAUGAUCUAGAUGAAGCCGAGCGAAUCAAAGCUACUGGAUUCAACAUUUUCAUACCUGCAAAAAAACAAGAAUAUUGUAAUUGAUACCCUGAAAGUUUUGGAUAGUCAAGAAGCAGAACUAAAACAAAACAGUAUGUGCAUUUCAAUGAUACAUGAGUAUUUGUAUAUUUGAUGGCUGUGUUUGACACUA